Molecule: ribosomal RNA, 447 nt
Filed under: uncultured bacterium
Lineage: Bacteria
Description: partial 16S ribosomal RNA
Rfam family: Bacterial small subunit ribosomal RNA
Source: RNAcentral
GGCCAGACUCCUACGGGAGGCAGCAGUGGGGAAUAUUGCACAAUGGGGGAAACCCUGAUGCAGCGACGCCGCGUGAGUGAAGAAGUAUUUCGGUAUGUAAAGCUCUAUCAGCAGGAAAGAAAAUGACGGUACCUGACUAAGAAGCCCCGGCUAACUACGUGCCAGCAGCCGCGGUAAUACGUAGGGGGCAAGCGUUAUCCGGAUUUACUGGGUGUAAAGGGAGCGUAGACGGUGAAGCAAGUCUGAAGUGAAAGGCGGGGGCUCAACCCCCGGACUGCUUUGGAAACUGUUUGACUGGAGUGCAGGAGAGGUAAGUGGAAUUCCUAGUGUAGCGGUGAAAUGCGUAGAUAUUAGGAGGAACACCAGUGGCGAAGGCGGCUUACUGGACUGUAACUGACGUUGAGGCUCGAAAGCGUGGGGAGCAAACAGGAUUAGAUACCCUGGUAA